CCUACGGGGAGCAGCAGUGGGGAAUAUUGGGCAAUGGGCGCAAGCCUGACCCAGCAACGCCGCGUGAAGGAAGAAGGCUUUCGGGUUGUAAACUUCUUUUCUCAGGGACGAAGCAAGUGACGGUACCUGAGGAAUAAGCCACGGCUAACUACGUGCCAGCAGCCGCGGUAAUACGUAGGCGGCAAGCGUUAUCCGGAUGUACUGGGUGUAAGGGGCGUGUAGGCGGGACUGCAAGUCAGAUGUGAAAACCAGGGGCUCAACCUGUGGCCUGCAUUUGAAACUGUAGUUCUUGAGUACUGGGGAGGCAGACGGAAUUCCUGGUGUAGCGGUGAAAUGCGUAGAUAUUAGGAGGAACACCAGUGGCGAAGGCGGGCUGCUAGGCAACAACUGACGCUGAGGCACGAAAGCGUGGGGAGCAAACAGGAUUAGAUACCCUAGUAGUC
RNAcentral lists this ribosomal RNA (443 nucleotides) under uncultured bacterium. RNAcentral's name for it is "partial 16S ribosomal RNA". It matches the Rfam family "Bacterial small subunit ribosomal RNA", at positions 338 to 795 of the family's 1533-position model. The record is from RNAcentral.